UUUUUCCUCCAGGCUUCAGUUAGGCACAGCAAGCAUCACGCCACUUGGCUCUGCAGCCCAGCAGCUUGUCCAGCCUGCAGCAGGAGCCAAGGAACGCCCAGGACACCGUCACAAGCUCCAGCCCACAAGGGUAAAACCUCUGAUAGCCUCCUGCCUAAUACUGAUUUUAUACUUUGUGAACUGCAGGAGCUCUCUCCUUUUUCUCACAGCCUCACAGAACAAAUGUGCUUCAACUGAUUCCUUGCAGCUUGGCUAGAGCAUGAUACCAUGUCCAGAAUGAGAUUGUAGCACAUGAAAUGCAGGCUUUACCUACCCCUGCAGGAGGCUAGUUCUUCUCCAUCCUUGGAAACAGCAGAAUUCCCCCAAUCUGCAUUAUAUAAAAGCUGUUUGAAUCUGAAUUUGGCACAGCUGAUGGGAUUUCUGUCUCAGUUAUUUUUCCUCUGAAUUAAGGGCAGCGAGGUAGACUUCACAAGCACAGCGUGCAUGACCCUCAGGCUCCAAUCCCUCAGCCAAUUUUGUGCUCCAUGGUAAACAGGAGUCCAAUAUUCCCCCCACAUCACCAACCAACCUCUUACAGUUCACUGCUUGCAAAGCCACUUCUCACAAGCUUGUUUCUGCUGUUAUAAUAUUUAUAACUAUAAUAUUUUAUAAUAAUAUGUUAUAAUAUUUUAUAACUACCUUCCUCUUCACCCUGCCUUUAGAGAGAUGCAGGUGCAUGCCCUUCGCCUUCAAAAGGAAAACGGGAAGCCACCACUGCAGAUAACUUCUUCACAUGCGUGCGUGGAGAAUCAGUUGCACCUUUGCAGCAAGCUUACAAAAAUAAAUCCACAGCUGCAGUGUUGGGGAACGGAGAAAGAAUGAUGAUAAAAUCUUUCAAAUAGCUUUUGCCCUGGCAGAAAGCCCAGAAAUAGCUGCAAGGACAUGCUGUCCUUUGGGAGAUUAAUGCUCCUCCAGUGCUCCCAAGCUGGACUAUAGAAAGAAAAUGUGGCUUAUUCUGAUGCAGUUUCACACAGUGCUAGUUCAUUCAUAGCCUUUUUUGGGGGGUGGGAAAUCUAUACAUUUUUGGCCAGAAGAAUACCAGUUUUCUUUAUCUUCCCAUAGACUUAGGCCUUCAGGGAAAAAAAAAAAAAACAAACACAAAACCAAACAGAAUCUCUAUUGUCCUUCCUAUAGGCAUAAUUUCCAUCUUGUGCAUACUAAUUUUUUUCUCAGUAUGGUCCAAGUAGCUUCUGGGGAUAUCCUACCUUCCUCUGUCCUGCUGUAUUCACAGCCUUGCCAUGCAGUGCUGCUCAUAAACUCUUGUUACACUUCAUUUCCAGUGCAAAGGCCAUCUUGGGUUCUUAACAUGAGCAUCCCUUGCUGGGCCAGAAGUGUUCACCUUUGCUGGCUUUCUCACUGAAAUGCUUCAGACCCCGUGAAUUAACUGAGGAAUUCAGUCCCCUGACCUAGGCAAUAUUAUUUUGGCUGCUCAGGUAUCCCAGGUAUGCAGUCUUUGUAUUAUUUUCAGUGCACUCAUGCAGUCAGAAGUGAAUGAAGUCACUGAAUAAAGGAAGCUGGCUGCACCCACAAGCUCCUGUUUCCCUAUUACAGAGAUGCAUGUUCUCCAAGUGAUGGCCAGCCACCUCUCAUUUCUCCUUCAGCUGCUCUCUUCCUCUCUUUUGCACGCACACACCCUUUUAAGGAACGGCAGGAGCGAGUUCCAGGCACAGCAGAUGCAUCAGCCUAAUUUAUAUACGGCAGAGAAUCUCCUAGUCCUGAAAUGCCUCUGCAUCUCCAUUGCAGUGUGCGGGCAGGUGGAGAAAGAGCCCUGGUCUUUACCUCCCAUUAAAGGAGAUAAAUGAUCUUGCUGGCAUGCAAACACUGCAGCUCAGGACAGACCAGCUUGGCUAUGUUACUGCUUAGCCCUGCCAACAGCUUAUUUCUUCAGAAAAAGGUGUGUGUAACUCUCUAGACAGCUGCAGAGCAACCUUCAUGCUUUUUGUGUCCCCCACCCCCACCAGUUAGUGGUUGGCUCUGUUAAUCCUAUUUAACAUAACUACAGAUAGACAUGCAAGCGUUUAAUCCCUCUCCAACCUACCAACCCUUCAGCCUGCCUUGGCUGGAGUUGCACAUUUUGAGCUGUAAGCAGACAGUAGACAGUCUGCCUUCUUUCACACUCCUCAUUUUGACUUGAAUUGAUGGGUCUUUAUGUCUCAAAAUGAGGAACUUCCUUUCGCUGUAACUUUUCUGAGUUAUUCAGGGCCCUGCUGCCAUGUAUCUGUUUUUGCAUUAACCAGUCACUUCCUGAAGCGUCCAGGAGCCUGUAAGUGCUGUAGGUGCUCAUGCUGUGUUGAUCACCAACAAGACUGAAACGUAAGGCAGUCAUGGAAAAAAACGCCAGAGGGAUGCUCAGCUGGUGUCGCAGAGCUGGGAAGGGAGCCAGCAGCCUGAUGAGCUCAGUGAGCACGCGGCGUUGGCCCAGCAGCAGUGGGACACAUCCCUGUGCCACGGCUUGCAGAUGCGGGGGAAAGAAAUGCUGUCCAGCAGGUCCAAAGGUUGCUGUGGCCUGCAGCCCGUCAGCUUCCAGCGUGGGAAACAGGUUGGAGGCCAACUAGGAAAAGCAGCCAUGGCAGCUGCCACUUCCCUAACCCCUUCUUGUCUCUUCCAUCGGGCAGAGCAAGAUUAUGGAAACAUAGAAUGGCUUGGGUUGGAAGGGACCUUAGAGAUCAUCCCAUUCCAACCUCCCUGCCAGGGAUGCCUUCCUCAAGAGCAGGUUGCUCGAAGCCCCAUCCUGUCUGGCCUCACUUACAGGGAUAGGGCGGUUGCUCCAAGGUAGCCACCUCCUGGGGUCCCAGCGCAGCUGGCAUCCUCUGGGCGUGGCUAGACAGACAGCAGGGAGUAUGAGGAGGUGCCUGGAUUCAGCUUAACACCAGGCACGUGCAACAGGCUGGAACUGUUCUUCCCUCUCCUUUGAAGACAUUCCCCUCACGGGCCACCACCUCUCCUUACCUACCCAGUAUUCAGGUGGCAUUACUCUUCUUUCCUAGGAGGUCAUACCCUGCCGGAGAGGGGGAAAGUCAAGGCUGCAACAUACUAGAUGUUUGCCCUUGCAGACGGUAUCUCUACCAGCCACCAUUCACUUCUGCUUCUUUUUCUUCCUCCCACAAAAUAAAGUUUAAUUUAUUUAAGGA
Motacilla alba alba is the source of this 3170-nucleotide long non-coding RNA. RefSeq lists it as uncharacterized. Lineage: Eukaryota; Metazoa; Chordata; Aves; Passeriformes; Motacillidae. The record is from RefSeq and is a predicted model, not a curated record. The transcript is spliced from 2 exons.